Paramacrobiotus metropolitanus is the source of this 759-nucleotide long non-coding RNA. RefSeq lists it as uncharacterized. The transcript is spliced from 3 exons. Lineage: Eukaryota; Metazoa; Tardigrada; Eutardigrada; Parachela; Macrobiotidae. The record is from RefSeq and is a predicted model, not a curated record.
GGCAUUUCAACAGGAAACCGAGGCUCCCAAUUUCGAUAAUGUUUUACAGCAUUAAAAAUAACUCAAAGUUUUAUUAUUGACGACCCUUUUGAAUUUUAUGGACCAUGUACUUAGUUUAAAAAUCACCUUGCUGUAUUACUGUAACUUGAAGGACUUUCUGUACAACAACAAGAAAUUUUUAAUAUUCAGUUUGUUUGCCACCUAACUAAUCACUGGAAUCGCCACCCGUGUUGUUGGAUUAUUGGUGGAACGAUUCUUUCCCUGAACGACAACAGACCUUCCGCCUUGUAUCUGCGCAAUCGGAAGAUGCAGUCGUCGACGCGGACCGUCACCGUUGCCGGUUUUAUUUUGUGUUUACUGCUUGUACAAGCGAUGGCUGGCAUGGCCAAUUUAGAAAAGCACGAGGAAUUUCGGCCUUUCGGUGACCUACCCGCCGGCGACGCUGCGAGGUGGAAACAAAAAAUCAAUCGCCCAACCCCGCCUCCACCUCCGCCCAACUGCUGUUCAUGGGCGGGCUACAAUCAGUGCUGGUGGAAUGGCUGGCACUGGGCAUUUGCGCCGCAUCCGCAAAAUCCCAAUAAAGUAUGCAAAACAUAGUUGUUAUGUCACGCCUUACUUAAUUAUCGUCUUAAUUCUGCUAAAAUUGAUCGUCUUAAUUCUGCUGAAAUUGAUUUAAGCAUGCCAUUAAUAUUCUUAUAUUUUGUAAUACAUUGACCUUUCGUGUACUUGUUCAACUCCCGCAAGGAUGCUGAAUUCAUU